This 253-nucleotide ribosomal RNA is filed under the name uncultured bacterium. RNAcentral's name for it is "partial 16S ribosomal RNA". It matches the Rfam family "Bacterial small subunit ribosomal RNA", at positions 524 to 776 of the family's 1533-position model. The record is from RNAcentral.
UACGUAGGGUGCAAGCGUUAAUCGGAAUUACUGGGCGUAAAGAGUGCGUAGGCGGUUCUUGGAGUCCGCUGUGAAAGCCCCGGGCUUAACCUGGGAAUGGCAGUGGAAACUGGAGGACUUGAAUUGAGCAGAGGGGGGUGGAAUGCCGCGUGUAGCAGUGAAAUGCGUAGAGAUGCGGCGGAACACCGAUGGCGAAGGCAGGUCUCUGGGCCACUACUGACGCUGAGAAGCGAAAGCAUGGGGAGCGAACAGG